AUUAAACUUAAACAAAAGUUUACAUGGCCCCUCACUCUAUGGAUUAAGGUGACUUAGACACUGGAUACUUCCAAAAAACCUAACAUAUAUAGUUAUUUAAAAAAAAAAACAACUAUAACAGUUAUCGGUUACUAUAGUACUUAAAAAAGCUAAUGUGGAAUGAUGGUUAUCCAGACUUUGUGGAUUGGGCUUUGCAUAACCAGUAGAUCUACCUAAUUCUAUAGACACACAAGAUCUGUACUCUCAUUCCUUACACAUAUGGACCUAUGGUUGUCCCAUUGUGGCCAUUAUUCAACCUUAAUUGUCUGGAGGAAGAGAGAGUCCUCUCCUAUUGCAAACCCUGGAUCAAGUAACAAUUCUAUAGCUUGUUAUCGUUUUUCUGUGCAUUUAUAUAUGAUACAACUGAGAUUAUUCUAGACAUUCAAACUUUGUUAAAAUAAAAGCUCUCAAGGAUCAGACUUUUAACUCAAUUGAUCAUAUGGGAAGAGAAAACUUGAGCUAAAUCUCCCAUGAAAAUUAGUUCUCUUAUUAGAAAAAAGCAACAGCUUUAUUAAAAACCACACACCAAGAGCUUUCUGAAUCUCACGAAUUCAAGCACAUUGAUCAAUAUAUAUAUAUAUAUAUAUAUGUGUAUAUAUUCAUAACAGAUGCAACUAUCAAAAUCAUUUAGGUAGCUCACCCCUUUAAGAACCUAUCAAACCAAUCACUUACUUCUUUUACCAUCAACGGUGUCAUUUGAUGUCCAAUUCCAGGCUGGGCUACAAGCUGCAGGUGAAUUGAUUUUUUGGCAUUAAAAGCAUAGAAUUCAGAAGGGAUUAGCUAGUAAUGGUGUAUAUAAAAUAGAAAAUCAACCAGAAAACUACUAUUUCCACGUUAGAAUAUUAAUUAUGCUGUUCAGUUGGUGAGUAUAUCUGACAAAUGAAAAACAUUUUCUUGUUAUUUUAGAUAUAACUAUUAUUUUCAAUAGCAUUAUAAUUUUAGUAUUGAAAUAUUAUAUUACAAUAAUACUUAAAAUAAUUAAUAUAAAUUUAAAAAAUAAACUUAAUUCUACAAUUAUUGACUUAUAUCCCCAAAAGGUUACGAACUUCUUUUAGAGAUGUUAUCACGGCACCAUGGCCAUUGACACGCCUGGUCCUGCAGUUGAAAUGUUUGCCUCAGCACUAAAG
This 1166-nucleotide long non-coding RNA is filed under the name Carica papaya (papaya). Its description in RNAcentral is "long non-coding RNA (CPAP_LNC012216)". Lineage: Eukaryota; Viridiplantae; Streptophyta; Magnoliopsida; Brassicales; Caricaceae. The record is from RNAcentral.